RNAcentral lists this ribosomal RNA (290 nucleotides) under uncultured bacterium. RNAcentral describes it as "partial 16S ribosomal RNA". It matches the Rfam family "Bacterial small subunit ribosomal RNA", at positions 773 to 1060 of the family's 1533-position model. The record is from RNAcentral.
GUGGAUUAGAUACCCUAGUAGUCCUAGCUGUAAACGAUGUGAACUUGGCGCUGGAUGGGUAAAACCGAUCAGUGCCGGAGCAAACGCGAUAAGUUCACCACCUGAGGACUACGGCCGCAAGGUUAAAACUCAAAGGAAUUGACGGGGGCCCGCACAAGCAGCGGAGCGUGUGGUUUAAUUCGAUGCUACACGAAGAACCUUACCAGGGUUUGACAUGUUUGUGGUAGCGAAGCGAAAGCGGAGCGACCCUUCGGGGAGCAAGCACAGGUGCUGCAUGGCUGUCGACAGCU